UGACGGUACCUGACUAAGAAGCUCCGGCUAAAUACGUGCCAGCAGCCGCGGUAAUACGUAUGGAGCAAGCGUUAUCCGGAUUUACUGGGUGUAAAGGGUGCGUAGGUGGCAUGGUAAGUCAGAUGUGAAAUACCGGGGCUCAACCCCGGAGCUGCAUUUGAAACUGUAGUUCUUGAGUGUUGGAGAGGCUAACGGAACUCCUAGUGUAGCGGUGAAAUGCGUAGAUAUUAGGAAGAACACCAGUGGCGAAGGCGGUUAGCUGGACAAUAACUGACGCUGAGGCGCGAAAGCGUGGGUAGCAAACAGGAUUAGAUACCCUG
RNAcentral lists this ribosomal RNA (320 nucleotides) under uncultured bacterium. RNAcentral's name for it is "bacterial SSU rRNA". It matches the Rfam family "Bacterial small subunit ribosomal RNA", at positions 470 to 789 of the family's 1533-position model. The record is from RNAcentral.